CAGAAUAUAGCUUAAAUAAAGCAUUUUGCUUACACCAAAAAAAUAUUUAAUAAUUAAAUUAUUCUGA
RNAcentral lists this transfer RNA (67 nucleotides) under Batrachoseps attenuatus (California slender salamander). RNAcentral describes it as "tRNA-Val". Lineage: Eukaryota; Metazoa; Chordata; Amphibia; Caudata; Plethodontidae. The record is from RNAcentral.